ACAUACAUAACUGUAAUUAUGAGGCUGAGCCUUAUUUUGAAUAUGGAUUUCAUCCAUGACUGAAGUUGACACUCUUUUCAUAUGAGUUGUUUUAUUUUUCCCUUUAACAUAUUUUUGUUGGGCAUUUAUAUCUAUUCCUAACUAGUUUAUUUUAUUAUACUAUAAUAUAUAUGUGUGUGUGUAUACAUACACACACUCAUACAUAUCUGGAUGGCAGUCUAUUUUUUUAAAGUCAGGGUCUUAUUUUAUACCUGACUGGCCUUGACCUCAGAGGCCUGUACCACCAUGCUAGGUCUUGGAUGCCAGUCUUCUUGUGUCACAAUAAAUUUAAAAAUUAAAAGCAAAAGGAGGAUGUAGCUCAUUUUGCUUUUGCCUAGUAGCACAAAGCCACUUUUCUGUUUUAGAAUUCUUUUUUCCCUUUCUUCGUUGGUUGGUUUUACUUUUGUUCUUUUCUGAGACAGGUUUCUUUGGCUGUGUGGUUUCUCUGGAUUCCUGACUGUCCUGGGACUUGCUCUGUAGACCACAGAGGUCUGCCUGGUACUGCCUCCUCAGUGCUGAAAUUCUUAAGCUGUAGCCUGAAGUGCUGCUCUCCCAGAAACACGCAAGACUUCCUUCCCAACCUCCUCCAAUCACUGGUUGAAAUGGCCAUUUCUGGUGUGCUUCCUUCAGUAUCCUGAUUAGGAGAGUAGACCAGCAGUCAGUAUUCCCCACCUUUCCUUUGCCUUGAUUGCACGUAUCAGCAGACACUGUCCAUGCAAGAAACGUAUAAAGAUAAAUGUCAACCAAGGGAAAUGGAAAACAAGUUAUGGCGUGUUUACUCUAACUGGGAGGCUCAAGGAUUACACAUCACCUUCCUAAAUUCUAGAUAAAGAAAGGGACCGUACUUCGUGUUAGGUUAAGUCUCACAAACAGAUCGCUGAGGGCUCUGGGAUCCAGGGAUGCUCCCUGUGACUUCUGGAACAGCACAAAGCAAACAGAAUCUCCAUAGAGGGGGGUCUCUAAUAGUGGAAAGGUGUACUCACUUCAUUUAGGUUAAUACUUUUCUUUUUUUCUUUUUUCUUUUGGUUUUUUCGAGACAGGGUUUCUCUGUGGCUUUGGAAGCUGUCCUGGGACUAGCUCUUGUAGACCAGGCUGGUCUCGAAUACACAGAGAACAACCUGCCUCUGCCUCCCGAGUGCUAAGACUAAAGGCGUGCGCCACCAACGCCAGGCAGGUUAAUACUUUUCUUAUCAUAAAGAAAGAGGGGACAUCUCUAAAAGCCACAACAUGCAGCUUUAGUAGAUUCAAAACAUGACCUCAAUCUCCAGCCUCCAUCCAUGCCAUGGACCUCUUCCACAGAAAGUUUCCCACAAGACUGUUCCCAUCCCACAAACUACUUUAGAAGCCACAAGUUGCCCUCACCCAGGAGGAAGCACUCUCAGGACGGUGAUCCAAUCUACUUGGUCCCAGAGCGGGCACUUCCGGAAGUGGUGAGGCUUGUUUCCGAGGGGACGAUCUUCCGAGGGGACAGGAGACUGACGGUGAGUAACGCUCGGUGCGAACGACGGCUCUCAAUGCGCGGUCACAGUUUUGUGGGCGAUGCCGGCGUCUCCCGUCGCCAGUGUUUGUCGCGAGUCCUCCCAGGCCGCGGGUGGAGAGCGAGGCAGCCUCGGAAGGGCGGCUCGGUCCGGAAGACGGCUCGGCUGCGCGCUCCGGGGCGCCCCCUGCAGGCGGUGCCCGAGGCUGACGCAGGAGGAGCCGCGUGGGGGCGGCACAGCCACUGCGAUGCCCGGCGCUUGGAGGGGGGCGCGUCGGAGGGCAGCCCCUACCCUGCCCGGGCCAGCGGCCUGGGCCCCAGGGACCGAGGCAGAAAGCCCGAGGACAGGGACGCCGCCUUGGGAAGCCUGAGCGCUGGAAGCUGAGGGCAGGCCCUCGGGGCGCGAGAGGAGUCAGGCAGGGUCCAGAUGCUACCUGCGGGACAGUGCAUUUAUGAUGGCAUUUAUAAAGGCCCUACAUCCGCCCAUGGAAGACCUCACUCUCCAUGGGGAGCAGAACUGGGAUAGGUUUUAAAAACGCUAGUUAGUGCUGUGUGCCUCUAACCCCAAGCCCAAGCAAGAGUGUGAGUUCCAGGACCAUCAAGAAACCCAAAUAAUUACCACCACAACAACAAAAUAGUUGACACUUUGGAUCACCUUUCAGCGACCAAGAACUUUCCUUUUUGCUAAAUAAAUCCUCUUUGUUUUGCUCCAAUAAAUAAAUAAAAACUCC
This 2247-nucleotide long non-coding RNA is filed under the name Cricetulus griseus (Chinese hamster). Its description in RNAcentral is "lncRNA (ENSCGRG00015040897.1)". Lineage: Eukaryota; Metazoa; Chordata; Mammalia; Rodentia; Cricetidae. The record is from RNAcentral.